RNAcentral lists this ribosomal RNA (492 nucleotides) under uncultured bacterium. RNAcentral describes it as "partial 16S ribosomal RNA". It matches the Rfam family "Bacterial small subunit ribosomal RNA", at positions 29 to 507 of the family's 1533-position model. The record is from RNAcentral.
AGUGAACGCUGGCGGUAGGCCUAACACAUGCCAGUCGAACGGCAGCACAGUAAGAGCUUGCUCUUACGGGUGGCGAGUGGCGGACGGGUGAGGAAUACAUCGGAAUCUACUUUUUCGUGGGGGAUAACGUAGGGAAACUUACGCUAAUACCGCAUACGACCUACGGGUGAAAGCAGGGGAUCUUCGGACCUUGCGCGAUUGAAUGAGCCGAUGUCGGAUUAGCUAGUUGGCGGGGUAAAGGCCCACCAAGGCGACGAUCCGUAGCUGGUCUGAGAGGAUGAUCAGCCACACUGGAACUGAGACACGGUCCAGACUCCUACGGGAGGAAGCAGUGGGGAAUAUUGGACAAUGGGCGCAAGCCUGAUCCAGCCAUACCGCGUGGGUGAAGAAGGCCUUCGGGUUGUAAAGCCCUUUUGUUGGGAAAGAAAAGCAGCAGGUUAAUACCCCGCUGUUCUGACGGUACCCAAAGAAUAAGCACCGGCUAACUUCGUG